GACGAACGCUGGCGGCGUGCUUAACACAUGCAAGUCGAACGGUAAGGCCCUUCGGGGUACACGAGUGGCGAACGGGUGAGUAACACGUGGGUGAUCUGCCCUGCACUUCGGGAUAAGCCUGGGAAACUGGGUCUAAUACCGGAUAGGACCACUGCCUGCAUGGGUGGUGGUGGAAAGCUUUUGCGGUGUGGGAUGGGCCCGCGGACUAUCAGCUUGGUGGUGGGGGGAUGGCCUACCAAGGCGACGACGGGUAGCCGGCCUGGGAGGGUGACCGGCCACACUGGGACUGAGAUACGGCCCAGACUCCUACGGGAGGCAGCAGUGGGGAAGAUUGCACAAUGGGCGCAAGCCUGAUGCAGCGACGCCGCGUGAGGGAUGACGGCCUUCGGGUUGUAAACCUCUUUCAGCACCGACGAAGCGCAAGUGACGGUAGGUGCAGAAGAAGGACCGGCCAACUACGUGCCAGCCGCCGCGGUAA
This 478-nucleotide ribosomal RNA is filed under the name uncultured bacterium. RNAcentral's name for it is "partial 16S ribosomal RNA". It matches the Rfam family "Bacterial small subunit ribosomal RNA", at positions 28 to 523 of the family's 1533-position model. The record is from RNAcentral.